RNAcentral lists this long non-coding RNA (716 nucleotides) under Olea europaea subsp. europaea. Lineage: Eukaryota; Viridiplantae; Streptophyta; Magnoliopsida; Lamiales; Oleaceae. The record is from RNAcentral.
UGAACAUCUUUUGAUUCAAAUGCACAUCUAUCGUACAUGUUUUGCUAGCUAGGCAGCUUAUUCAGUAAUUUUCAUAUGCUCUUCUAGUACGUAAUUUUGUCGUAUAUUUUUAUUUGUAAAUUUUUUUUUCUUGUUUUGUUUUGACCAAUACAGAAGUGACAAUGCCCGGAGCAGAAGCAAGAGUUUGCGAAUCAAGGAGCCAUGGAUUUAGGGGCCCUUGCCUUGGCGACCACAACUGCGCGCUGGUUUGCCGAAAUGAAGGUUUCUCCGGUGGAAAAUGCCACGGUUUCCACCGUCGAUGCUUCUGUACUAAACUUUGUUAAGUACAAUGUAUGCACUUUAAAACUUCAUCAUGGUUUUGACACUUGGAAUUUUGGUGGAAUUUGAUGAAAAUAAUUAGUUUGUUCUUCUAUGUACUCAAUAUUUCCUUGUCCAGGACUGACUGAGUAUUUGUUGUCGUUUUUGCUUAAUUGCUGAGUGGGAAGUAGUACGUCAAGACCAUUUACUUAUGAUGGAUAUUUUGUUGAAUUUUGAUACUUGUACAUCAGGGUUAACACACCGGUGUACUGACUUCUCACAACAAGUGGGGGCCCACGACGAAUAAAAAAAUCAUAGGCUCCCCUGUUGUGAGGGAGUCGGUACAAUCCCGGUAUACGAGUAAUAAGAUUUUAUUUUGUUACUAGUGAGCUGGGCUAGUUGAAAGCGGGUUAACUAAA